RNAcentral lists this ribosomal RNA (456 nucleotides) under uncultured bacterium. RNAcentral describes it as "bacterial SSU rRNA". It matches the Rfam family "Bacterial small subunit ribosomal RNA", at positions 29 to 486 of the family's 1533-position model. The record is from RNAcentral.
AACGAACGCUGGCGGCAGGCCUAAUACAUGCAAGUCGAACGAGAAAGCUCUUCGGAGUGAGUACAGUGGCGCACGGGUGAGUAACACGUGGGUAACCUACCUUUUAGUGGGGAGCAACAGAGAGAAAUUUCUGCUAAUACCGCAUAAUCUGGAAACAGGAAAGAGGGCCUCGGCUCUCGCUGAAAGAUGGGCCCGCGGGACAUUAGCUUGAUGGUGGGGUAAUGGCCUACCAUGGCGACGAUGUCUAGCUGGUCUGAGAGGAUGAUCAGCCACACUGGAACUGAGACACGGUCCAGACUCCUACGGGAGGCAGCAGUAGGGAAUAUUGCGCAAUGGGGGAAACCCUGACGCAGCCAUGCCGCGUGUGUGAGGAAGGCCCUAGGGUUGUAAAGCACUGUCCUAAGAGAAUAACGGCAUUAUGGUUAAUACCCAUAGUGUUUGAAGGUAUCUUAGAAG